GUCCCAGACUCCUACGGGAGGCAGCAGUGGGGAAUAUUGCACAAUGGGGGAAACCCUGAUGCAGCGACGCCGCGUGAGUGAAGAAGUAUUUCGGUAUGUAAAGCUCUAUCAGCAGGGAAGAGAAUGACGGUACCUGAGUAAGAAGCCCCGGCUAACUACGUGCCAGCAGCCGCGGUAAUACGUAGGGGGCAAGCGUUAUCCGGAUUUACUGGGUGUAAAGGGAGCGUAGACGGCAGUGCAAGUCCGGAGUGAAAGCCCGGGGCUCAACCCUGGGACUGCUCUGGAAACUGUAAAGCUGGAGUGCGGGAGGGGCAGGGGAAUUCCUGGUGUAGCGGUGAAAUGCGUAGAUAUCAGGAGGAACACCGGCGGGGAAGGCGGCUUGCUGGGCUUUUACUGACGCUGAGGCUCGAAAGUGUGGGGAGCAAACAGGAUUAGAUACCCUGGUAU
RNAcentral lists this ribosomal RNA (447 nucleotides) under uncultured bacterium. RNAcentral's name for it is "bacterial SSU rRNA". It matches the Rfam family "Bacterial small subunit ribosomal RNA", at positions 328 to 793 of the family's 1533-position model. The record is from RNAcentral.